Molecule: ribosomal RNA, 514 nt
Filed under: Lactobacillus sp. DumLac22
Lineage: Bacteria; Bacillati; Bacillota; Bacilli; Lactobacillales; Lactobacillaceae
Description: bacterial SSU rRNA
Rfam family: Bacterial small subunit ribosomal RNA
Source: RNAcentral
CUAAUACAUGCAAGUCGAGCGAGCGGAACCAACAGAUUUACUUCGGUAAUGACGUUGGGAAAGCGAGCGGCGGAUGGGUGAGUAACACGUGGGGAACCUGCCCCUAAGUCUGGGAUACCAUUUGGAAACAGGUGCUAAUACCGGAUAAUAAAGCAGAUCGCAUGAUCAGCUUUUGAAAGGCGGCGUAAGCUGUCGCUAAGGGAUGGCCCCGCGGUGCAUUAGCUAGUUGGUAAGGUAACGGCUUACCAAGGCGACGAUGCAUAGCCGAGUUGAGAGACUGAUCGGCCACAUUGGGACUGAGACACGGCCCAAACUCCUACGGGAGGCAGCAGUAGGGAAUCUUCCACAAUGGACGCAAGUCUGAUGGAGCAACGCCGCGUGAGUGAAGAAGGUUUUCGGAUCGUAAAGCUCUGUUGUUGGUGAAGAAGGAUAGAGGUAGUAACUGGCCUUUAUUUGACGGUAAUCAACCAGAAAGUCACGGCUAACUACGUGCCAGCAGCCGCGGUAAUACGUA